Molecule: ribosomal RNA, 444 nt
Filed under: uncultured prokaryote
Description: bacterial SSU rRNA
Rfam family: Bacterial small subunit ribosomal RNA
Source: RNAcentral
UGAGGAAUAUUGGACAAUGGGCGCAAGCCUGAUCCAGCCAUGCCGCGUGUAGGAAGACUGCCCUAUGGGUUGUAAACUACUUUUAUACAGGAAGAAUAAGGGGCACGUGUGCUCUGAUGACGGUACUGUAAGAAUAAGCACCGGCUAACUCCGUGCCAGCAGCCGCGGUAAUACGGAGGGUGCAAGCGUUAUCCGGAAUCAUUGGGUUUAAAGGGUCCGUAGGCGGGCUAGUAAGUCAGGGGUGAAAGUUUGCGGCUCAACCGUAAAAUUGCCUUUGAUACUGCUAGUCUUGAAUUGUUGUGCAGUGGUUAGAAUAAGUAGUGUAGCGGUGAAAUGCAUAGAUAUUACUUAGAAUACCGAUUGCGAAGGCAGAUCACUAACAACAUAUUGACGCUGAUGGACGAAAGCGUAGGUAGCGAACAGGAUUAGAUACCCCGGUAGUCC